GUAGGUGAACCUGCGGAAGGAUCAUUCU
Molecule: ribosomal RNA, 28 nt
Filed under: Gracilaria babae
Lineage: Eukaryota; Rhodophyta; Florideophyceae; Gracilariales; Gracilariaceae
Description: partial 18S ribosomal RNA
Source: RNAcentral